Carlito syrichta (Philippine tarsier) is the source of this 115-nucleotide ribosomal RNA. Lineage: Eukaryota; Metazoa; Chordata; Mammalia; Primates; Tarsiidae. The record is from Ensembl.
GCAUAUGACCAUACUGCCCUGAAUGCACCCAAUCUUGUCUGGUCUCAGAAGUUAAGCAGGGUCGGGCCGGGUUAGUGCUUGGAUGGGAGAAAUUAGAAAGACAGCAGAGAAUGCA